This 504-nucleotide ribosomal RNA is filed under the name uncultured bacterium. RNAcentral's name for it is "partial 16S ribosomal RNA". It matches the Rfam family "Bacterial small subunit ribosomal RNA", at positions 29 to 507 of the family's 1533-position model. The record is from RNAcentral.
ACGAACGCUGGCGGCGUGCCUAAUACAUGCAAGUAGAACGCACAGUUUAUACCGUAGCUUGCUACACCAUAGACUGUGAGUUGCGAACGGGUGAGUAACGCGUAGGUAACCUGCCUGGUAGCGGGGGAUAACUAUUGGAAACGAUAGCUAAUACCGCAUAAUAUUAAUUAUUGCAUGAUAAUUAAUUGAAAGGUGCAAUUGCACCACUACCAGAUGGACCUGCGUUGUAUUAGCUAGUAGGUGAGGUAACGGCUCACCUAGGCGACGAUACAUAGCCGACCGCAGAGGGUGAUCGGCCACACUGGGACUGAGACACGGCCCAGACUCCUACGGGAGGCAGCAGUAGGGAAUCUUCGGCAAUGGACGAAAGUCUGACCGAGCAACGCCGCGUGAGUGAAGAAGGUUUUCGGAUCGUAAAGCUCUGUUGUAAGAGAAGAACGGGUGUGAGAGUGGAAAGUUCACACUGUGACGGUAUCUUACCAGAAAGGGACGGCUAACUACGUG